CAGUUAGCCGCGGUAAUACGUAGGGUGCAAGCGCUAAUCGGAAUUACUGGGCGUAAAGCGUGCGCAGGCGGUUUGUUAAGACAGAUGUGAAAUCCCCGGGCUCAACCUGGGAACUGCAUUUGUGACUGGCAAGCUAGAGUAUGGCAGAGGGGGGUGGAAUUCCGCGUGUAGCAGUGAAAUGCGUAGAUAUGCGGAGGAACACCGAUGGCGAAGGCAGCCCCCUGGGCCAAUACUGACGCUCAUGCACGGAAGCGUGGGGAGCAAACAGGAUUAGAGACCCGCGUAGUCCCUGUCUCUUAUA
Molecule: ribosomal RNA, 301 nt
Filed under: uncultured bacterium
Lineage: Bacteria
Description: partial 16S ribosomal RNA
Rfam family: Bacterial small subunit ribosomal RNA
Source: RNAcentral